This is an unclassified non-coding RNA of Cercocebus atys (sooty mangabey), 102 nucleotides long. It matches the Rfam family "Y RNA". From Rfam's summary of the family: Y RNAs are components of the Ro ribonucleoprotein particle (Ro RNP), in association with Ro60 and La proteins. The Y RNAs and Ro60 and La proteins are well conserved, but the function of the Ro RNP is not known. In humans the RNA component can be one of four small RNAs -- hY1, hY3, hY4 and hY5. NCBI's taxonomy places the organism in Eukaryota, Metazoa, Chordata, Mammalia, Primates, Cercopithecidae. The record is from Ensembl.
GGCUGGUCUGAGUGUAGGGGUGUUUACAACUAAUUGAUCACAACUCAUUACAGAUUUCUUUGCUCUUCCUCCACUCCCACUGCUUCACUUGACUAGCCUUCA